Long non-coding RNA from Saimiri boliviensis boliviensis (Bolivian squirrel monkey), 1984 nucleotides. RefSeq lists it as uncharacterized. The record is from RefSeq and is a predicted model, not a curated record. Lineage: Eukaryota; Metazoa; Chordata; Mammalia; Primates; Cebidae.
ACUCUUUGGGUCAGAGUUCUGUGUUAUAAAAAAGGUGAAAUCUUAAUUCAAUAGUUUUUAAGCAAAGUCAUCACAAGGGAACACACUGAUGCCCUGUGAUGUUUUGGGACUCUCCAGAAUGUUUUCACCAGCAAAAAGUCCCUCAGCAGAUGCAGCCUCUCAACCUUGAACUUUGUAGUCUCCAAAAUUGACCAUUUGUACUGCAACCCAGCAAGCAGGAAUUAGCAAAACAAGAUGGUGUUGCUGACUUGAGGAAGUUGUAGCAGCUGGGAUCUCCAGAGAAGAGGUGACUGUAGAGUCUACACAGAAAUGGGGAGACAUCAUUCUGGCUGCAUUAUGAAUGGAUAGUUUGGAGGAGGAAUGUGGAUAACUAAACAAGAAUGAGAGUAGAAAGAAACUACUCUUAAGACUAUUGCAAUAUCCACGUGCAAUGUGCUUUUUUUGUGACUGCAGACUAUGAUAUUUAUUCAUAAUGGGGGCAAAACAAGAUUUCACUAUAUUUUCUCAGCAACAAGAAAAUACUCUCUCUGAAGUCAAGCACUUCUGGGAAGACCAAAAGUAAUGCAAACUAGAGUUUCAAAGCAAAACCCCUACAUCCUGAAUGCCCAGCCCAGUCAAUGAAGAUUUUUCUGUCUCAUCUGUCAGCUAACUUGGUCCUCUUCCCCUGGGAACAAAACCAAGAAGGGUUAAGAGAUAAUCUGGAAACAAUCUCCCCAGCAUUUGCCUAAGAGGGCAGCUGUAUACCCAGACCUUCUUUCCUCUGUGACAAUAUACUAGAAAGAGAGAGUUUCAUACUCUUUAAAUCUGAAUCGUUGACACUCACUUUAACAAGAAUACAGCCUGAUUCCUCUCUGCCCCUCUAGCUAUUUCUAGAAAGUUGGUCAUAAAAUGAAUUGGUAAAUAGAGAAUUCAGACACUGAUUCUGCUUAAGCAAUCCUAGAAAUGACUUACAAGCUUUGGGAACAUCAAAGAUAGCACUCAUGAGACAGGCAAGCUAAGGAGUGUUCAGGAGUAAAUGCACCUCUCAUCCCACAAGUCCACUGUUCUGAUGAAAGAUUAAGAGGCAGUUGGCCUGGGAAGGUGAAAAGGCAGGAAAAGAGUGGGAAGUCAGUUCCUAGGAUGAUAAUCACAUCCACAGACAUUGUCUUCUUUCAUACAUGCACAACUUUUCUUUGUUAUCUUUACACACAUCUAUAUUCAGUUCUGUAUGAUCUACUAGCAGUUUACAGCUGCUUUAAAUGAGUACAUUUCAGGUUGGGCAUGGUGACUCACGGCUGUAAUCCCAAUACUUUGGGAGAUUGAGGUGGGCGGAUCACUUGAGGUCAGGAGUUUGAGACCAACCUGACCUCUACUAAACCCCAUCUCUACUAAAAAUGCAAAAAUUAGCUGGUCAAGGUGGUUCACAGCUGUAAUCCCAGCUACUCAGGAGGCUGAGGCAAGAGAAUGGCUUGAACCCGGGAGGCAGAGGUUGCCGUGAGCCAAGAUGGUGCCACUGUACUCGUCUAGGUGACAGAGCAAGAUUCUGUGUCAAAUAAAUAAAUAAAUAAAUAAAUGCAUACAUUUUUUCAGAAUUUCUCUCCCAUAUUGAUGAGCCUUCCAUGGGCAUCUAAUUUAAAUAAUUAUUUUCUGAAAAGCAACAGCCACUCUAUUAUAUUCCUGGUGACAGUGCAAAAUGGUUUAGCUUCUAAAAAGAUGAAUGUGAAAAUAACUAUUAGAACCAUAUAUGCAAUCACCAUUUGAUCCAGCAAUCCCAUUUCUGGGAAUUCAUCCUGAAGACGUAUCUCUCUAUAUAUGGGCAAAAUGGAAGCUAUUGAAUGUUAUAUUGUGAGGUAAUAGUAAAAUAAGAAAUAACCCCAAUGUCUAUUUAUGUGAAAGGAGUAGAAUAAACUGUGGUACAUCCACACAAUGAAUUUUUAUGAAGUCAUAAAAAAGAAUGAGGAGCAUAUCUGUGAACUGUCAUGAAGUAACUUCCAGAAUGUGUUUU